Molecule: long non-coding RNA, 1490 nt
Filed under: Anser brachyrhynchus (Pink-footed goose)
Lineage: Eukaryota; Metazoa; Chordata; Aves; Anseriformes; Anatidae
Description: lncRNA (ENSABRG00000001493.1)
Source: RNAcentral
UGAACACUUCACAGCCCUCCAGGUGCCGAGCUGCUACACCUUGCCCCUGUCUUUCUCCUGAUCAAAUAAGUUAGUCUCUAUGGAAGUUAAUGAACUUGCAGAGAUGUGCUUGCUGUUUGGCGUAAAUAUAGGAGAAAUUUAUUGUUCUCAAUAAGACUGAGUUAAACUUGCAUUAAUUUUACUGAUUCCAAAGAGAAAAAAAAAAAAGAAAUUAGGAGUAAGAAUAUUUCUUGAAGAUAAAAGAAUCUGCACAGGGUAAGAAGUUCACUGCCUGGCUUGUGGGCAUGCACCCCUCAGCUUUGCUGCACACAGAGAAGACACCACUGCUACUCUGAAGGGAAAGAGGAUCCGAAUGAAGGGUGAAUGAGGAACCUCAGGUCCUGCUGUGAACACGUAAGCCGUGCUGCUGAUGCUCGUAAUUCCUGCGGAACACGUGGGCGGAUGCCUCUCUCAUUCAGCUAUGAUCGUCCUCUUCCUUUCCCAGACUCCCAUGAAAGCGUGAAAAGUGCAGUUAUUCAUGCACAAUAAGGCGUGAUCGUUAUCGUGAUUUGUUUCUGCAAAUGUUGUUAAAACAAGGCAAUAUCUGAAGCUCCACAAAAGCUGCGCCUUUCUCAUGCAAAGCGGAACAUUCCUGGCGAGUCGAAUGCUGUGUCAGAACUGGAGCUCAGGAUCAGUCAUGUUUAGCAUCAGACCAGCCAGAAUUCUGCUGAGUUGCCAGAGCUCUGCUGAACCGUCAGAGAAACCUGCUGGUUCUUCUCAGCAGGAUAUCUCCAGGAGUGUAUGCUGGACUGGACGUGUGGAUGAAGGCUGGAAUCACAAGGGCACAGUCCAGCAGUUGUCAUUACAAUUAGUUGGUGGACUCCACGGUGUCCUACCAAAGAAACUGAGUACUGGCUUCUGAAGAGUGACUUGUGGAGUAAAACAGCUGUGCUGAAAUAUGGAAAGUCAGGACGACUGAGUCCACGUCAGACAUGCAUGAACACAUCUGUGCAAGAUUCCCCCCGGAUGGGCAAACAUCAAUAUUCCUACGUCUGUGGCCAGAGGCAUGGAUGGGGCUGAGGGACCUGCCAACAGCUACCAGGGAAGGUCUCAGGCAGCUUCCUGGGAGAGGCUCUGCACCUUCAGAGUCCAGGCACGGACCAGCUUAUCCACCACAGUCUGGUUCUGGGAGAGCUCACAAAUGAAGUGCCUGUUUUUCUAGCUCCAGGCAUGAUAUCUGCCUAUAGCCAUACCCUCUCCCAUGCAAACAGACACACCACACUGCUGAGAGCGAAUGCCAGUGAGCCUUGAAAGGAGGCGGUAACUUUGAGAAGAUUGAUUGUUUUCUUGCCCAAAGAACUGCUGUUUCCCUAUAAUUUAGCUUUCAAGACUCUUAUUUCUACCUGGACCGAGUUUCAAGAAAAGCUUAGGUGAUGCAUAAAAUCAAGCCCUAGCUGCCUGAUUUAUAUUUUGAAAAUAAAACAGCUAGAGCAAGGAUGUUUUUUUUUUAG